AAAACGACUCUCGGCAACGGAU
RNAcentral lists this ribosomal RNA (22 nucleotides) under Pinus pinea (stone pine). RNAcentral describes it as "partial 5.8S ribosomal RNA". The record is from RNAcentral. Lineage: Eukaryota; Viridiplantae; Streptophyta; Pinopsida; Pinales; Pinaceae.